Long non-coding RNA from Loxodonta africana (African savanna elephant), 848 nucleotides. RefSeq lists it as uncharacterized. Lineage: Eukaryota; Metazoa; Chordata; Mammalia; Proboscidea; Elephantidae. The record is from RefSeq and is a predicted model, not a curated record. The transcript is spliced from 2 exons.
GGCAGUCAAUUGGCACCAUGUCACACUGGUGCCUGGGAUCCCAGUAUGUGACCAGAACGCAGGAGAAGAAAAGCUGCGGAGCCCUAUGCCCUUUCUGCCCUCUUGCCAUGAGAGAGACUCUGAGGCUUGACUUCUACCAUAAUCACCCGUAUUAAACACAAGCCCCAAAAGCAAAAGAAGGGGUUGCGUUUGCUACCUGGAUUCAGACAGCCCUUCUCAGGGUUAACAUAUGUCAUGUGGUCACUGUUCGGAAGGAGGGCUUCCUCCCUGACUUCUAACAGGCUUGUAGGCUGCAGCUUCAUUAGCCAAUUGGGAGGGCAUCGGGAGUAUUAAGCAGCUUUUUCUUUUUUUUUUUAAUAUUUGCUUUGCAAAUGUGCUGAUCUGCGCUAACUUCUUGUCUUUGCAAAAGGGACUGCUCCCACGACGUGCCCCAGCAGGGGCCUCUAAGACAUUCCCCUGUCAGUGCAGGGCUGCCCUGGGCCUCAGGAAGCAGGGCGCAUCUCCGCCAAGAUGCCUGGUCUCCGUGUCUUCCAGGCCAGGUGGACAGUGCAGGGCCGAAGCAGGUGCUGGAAGAACGUGGAACUUUGUUUGAUCAGAAGGGCCUGUACUGACAGACAGAAGGAGCUCAGAGUGAACUGGAAGUCCAAGGUUGCCUGGAUUACUGGUUCAUCAGAUAUAAUUUUAUCUGAGCACACCUCUGAAAGUCCUUUUAUUGACUCAUCUUACCCCUCUCAGUUGAAAGAUUUCUUUUGUGAAGGGGCAAGACCAUGAACUGAAAAAAGUGUUGGCCUGUUUGUGGGACCAGAUUUCUAAGAUAAAGAAAUAAUAAAUACUUUUACUUCUGUCAA